AGGACUAUAAACUCUCCCAGAUCACUGGAGCAUGGUGCUGCUGAUGCAAAGUGACUCUCUAUGGAAAUGUUCUGACUGAGUCUAACUGGAACUGGGAUCAAUAUGAUGAUUAUUUUAAUAGGUUCUUGAUCCAGCCCUCCUUGAUAUGACUGCAGCACAUUGAAGAUCGCUUGCUACUGGAAAACCACCUCAAGUUGUCAUCUUCCGAACCAAGUCGCUCUAAGCUCCUGUCUGCUCGCUCUCCCGCCGACCAGCAGAAUUACCCACGGAUCUCAUAAACCAACCACCACCAGGUGAACCCCGCAACCGUAAACCCACCUCGAAGCUUUUACCCACAUCCAGAAAACAUUUCAGGCGUACCACAUAGAGAAGCCGGUUGCUUACAAGUGCCAGGGCACAUGUAAGCAUAUGUCUCCUAGGUGAUACUCGUCCCACCCUGACAGUGCUGCCCCCCUCCAGUGAGGAGCUGCAGCAGGGGAAAGCCACCCUCAUGUGUCUGGCCAACAAGGGCUUCCCCUCAGACUGGAGUCUGUCCUGGAAGGUGGACGGCAGCAGCAGCAGCAGCAGCAGCAGCAGCUGGGAGCAGAGC
Long non-coding RNA from Girardinichthys multiradiatus, 589 nucleotides. RefSeq lists it as uncharacterized. NCBI's taxonomy places the organism in Eukaryota, Metazoa, Chordata, Actinopteri, Cyprinodontiformes, Goodeidae. The record is from RefSeq and is a predicted model, not a curated record. The transcript has 3 exons.